This 2153-nucleotide long non-coding RNA is filed under the name Homo sapiens (human). RNAcentral describes it as "long intergenic non-protein coding RNA 2363". Lineage: Eukaryota; Metazoa; Chordata; Mammalia; Primates; Hominidae. The record is from RNAcentral.
GGCUCCUUUCCUUAUAUGUCUAACCCUGGCCUGGAGCACUGGAGGAUGAGGUCCGCUGACUGCAGCGUCCAUCCUGGUCCUCCCCAGGCACUGUGGCCUCCCUCACAGCAUGGCUGCCUUGGGUACUCGGACUUCACGUGGAAGGCCAGGGCUCCGAGAGCAAAUGCCCCAGCAAGACAGAAGCUCAGCCGCCUUUGAUGACCUAGAAGCUAGGCAGCAUCCAUUGUACUGCCUUCUAUGGGUUGUGAGUGAGUCCCAAACCUGCCUUGACUCAAGGAAACGGAAUUAGGCUCUACGUCUUGACUAGGUAGUGGCGAAGUUCUGGAAGCACAUGAGUAGGAGAUACUGUGACGGUUUCAUCUUUGGAAAAUACCAUCUAGCACACCUGAAUCUGCUUUCAGGGGGUGUAAGGGGAUUUCCAUGGCAAAAUUUGAAGCCACAUGUGGUCACUGCUUUGUACUGAGGAAACAAAGUGCUCUGGGCAUCCAGAAAGGGGGUACGUUUUUUCUUACUGGGAUAAAUCUGGCUGCAUUUUAGCUAAUCCUGGAAAAUUGAUCGACAAAAGCAAAGGACCAAGAAAGCUGCUUAUAUCAGUGUCUCCUCCACCCUCAGCCUCCAGUAGCAUCCCUACGUUUUACAAUUUUAUUUAUGUCACUUUAAAUAAGGACAUUGAGAGGGAAAAGGCCUCAUCGACAUACCAACUACAGGCCAGGUGGACCUUCGGUGCACACACACCCCAGCGCCCACAGAGAUCCAGGCCUCCUGUGUAUGAAUGUGUGCCAUGAAUUUAGACCUAUUUCUCGCCUUCCGGGCUCUCUAUUCCUCAUCCUCCAUCCAAGUGGCCAUCUUGUGCAGGCCCUGAAAGCAGCAGAUCUCACCUGCAUUGGAGGAUGAGACGCCACAUGAAGAAGAAAGAAGACGCCACAGACAGCAGCGCAGUACCACCUUCCAGAGAUGUGAGUGUGACCGUCUUUGACCUUCUAGCCCAGCUGCUUUCCCUGAAUGCAAUGCAUGAGCAGGCCAGGCAAAACUAGAGAGGGAAGCUGCCCAGCUAACCCACAGAAUUAUGAGAGAUAAAAAAUCAUUGUCUUAAGCCACUAAGUCUGUUAUGCAGCAAUAUAUAGCAUUCAUUCAACUUUUGUCUCAUGAAUACUCUCAUUUCUUUUAUAAGUUCUUUUGUGGUUCAAAUUAGCUCAAAUCAGUUUCUGAUGCUUAUGACCAAAUGCCCCUAUGUGAUAGAUUUUGAGGGGUUAAGAAGCUUGCUCGGAUCACACAGCGGUAAGUAGCAGCACUUCAUCUUUAACCCACCUCUGGCCCACUCCCUUUCCAUAGGUCCUUGUUGCCUCCCUCCCUAAUCCCUUCCAGUCUAGUUUCCUCACUCAUUUUAGCAUCUUGAAGAUGCCUGACCUUUUGUAACAGGCACUUAGAAGAGGCAAUAAUCAAGCUGUGAGCUGGAAUACUGGGUUUCUCAUCCAAUAACCAGGUUGGCAGGUUGGUAACCAUACAAGGGACUUUUCAAACUGGAGAAUUAGUGUGCUGAGCACAAAGUGGUGAGUAUUUUGAGAGUUACUGAAAUAUAAUUGACAUAACAAUAAAAAUACAAUAUUUAAGUGCAUGUAUUUCAAGUGUACGAUUUGACAAGUUUGGUUAUAUUAUAUACACCUACGAAACCAUCACCACAAUUAAGAAAAUGAGCAUAGCUAUCACACACAAAAGUUUCCUUGUGCCCCUUGGUAAUUCCUCCCUCUCUCCUGCCCACAUCUCUCCUUUUCCCAGGCAAUCCCUGAUCUGAUUUCUGCCGCUAUCAAUUCGUUUGCAUUUCCUAGAAUUUUAAAUAACUGAAAACAUACAUUAAGAACUCUUUUUCUCUGGCCGAGUAUGGUGGCUCACGCCUGUAAUCCCAGCACUUUGGGUGGCCAAGGCGGGCAGAUCACCUGAGGUCAGGAGUUCGAGACCACCCUGGCCAACGUGGUGAAACCCUGUCUCUACUAAACAUACAAAAAUUAGCCAGGCAUGGUAAUGGGCAUCUGUAAUCCCAGCUACUCGCGAGGCUGAGGCAGGAGAAUUGCUUGAACCUGGGAGACAGAGGUUGCAGUGGGCUGAGAUCACGCCACUGCACUCCAGCAUGGACAACAGAGCGAGACUCCGUCCCC